UAGCAAGUACAGCAACACAAUUGUGUCCCCAUAGAAUUCUGUUGCUGUACUUGCUGCA
Molecule: microRNA precursor, 58 nt
Filed under: Lepisosteus oculatus (spotted gar)
Lineage: Eukaryota; Metazoa; Chordata; Actinopteri; Semionotiformes; Lepisosteidae
Description: Loc-Novel-5_pre stem-loop
Source: RNAcentral